Molecule: transfer RNA, 73 nt
Filed under: Ovis aries (sheep)
Lineage: Eukaryota; Metazoa; Chordata; Mammalia; Artiodactyla; Bovidae
Rfam family: tRNA
About the family: Transfer RNA (tRNA) molecules are approximately 80 nucleotides in length. Their secondary structure includes four short double-helical elements and three loops (D, anti-codon, and T loops).
Source: Rfam by way of RNAcentral
UCCCUGGGAGUCCAACAGUUAAGACUCUGCUCUUCCACUGCAAGGGGCACAGGUUCCAUUCCUGGUCAGGGAG